CCUACGGGAGGCUGCAGUGGGGAAUAUUGCACAAUGGGCGAAACCCUGAUGCAGCGACGCCGCGUGAACGAUGAAGGACUUCGGUGUGUAAAGCUCUAUCAGCAGGGGAGAAACUGACCGUACCUGACUAAGAAUCCCCGUCUAACUACGGUCCAGCCGCCGCGGUUAUACGUAGGGGGCCAGCGUUAUCCGGAUUUAGUGGGUGUAAAGGGAGCGUAGUGGGCGAUGCAAGCCAGUUGUGAAGGUCCGGGGCUCAACCCCGGGACUGCAUUUGGAACUGUGUGGCUGGAGUGUCGGAGAGGCAGGCGGAAUUCCUGGUGUAGCGGUGAAAUGCGUAGAUAUUAGGAGGAACACCAGUGGCGAAGGCGGCCUGCUGGACGAUGACUGACGUUGAGGCUCGAAAGCGUGGGGAGCAAACAGGAUUAGAUACCCCAGUAGUC
RNAcentral lists this ribosomal RNA (440 nucleotides) under uncultured bacterium. RNAcentral describes it as "partial 16S ribosomal RNA". It matches the Rfam family "Bacterial small subunit ribosomal RNA", at positions 338 to 795 of the family's 1533-position model. The record is from RNAcentral.